GACGAACGUUGGCGGCGUGCUUAACACAUGCAAGUCGAACGGAAAGGCCCUGCUUUUGUGGGGUGCUCGAGUGGCGAACGGGUGAGUAACACGUGAGUAACCUGCCCUUGACUUUGGGAUAACUUCAGGAAACUGGGGCUAAUACCGGAUAGGAGCUCCUGCUGCAUGGUGGGGGUUGGAAAGUUUCGGCGGUUGGGGAUGGACUCGCGGCUUAUCAGCUUGUUGGUGGGGUAGUGGCUUACCAAGGCUUUGACGGGUAGCCGGCCUGAGAGGGUGACCGGCCACAUUGGGACUGAGAUACGGCCCAGACUCCUACGGGAGGCAGCAGUGGGGAAUAUUGCACAAUGGGCGGAAGCCUGAUGCAGCAACGCCGCGUGCGGGAUGACGGCCUUCGGGUUGUAAACCGCUUUCGCCUGUGACGAAGUGUGAGUGACGGUAAUGGGUAAAGAAGCACCGGCUAACUACGUG
This 468-nucleotide ribosomal RNA is filed under the name uncultured bacterium. RNAcentral's name for it is "partial 16S ribosomal RNA". It matches the Rfam family "Bacterial small subunit ribosomal RNA", at positions 28 to 507 of the family's 1533-position model. The record is from RNAcentral.